Molecule: unclassified non-coding RNA, 177 nt
Filed under: uncultured fungus
Lineage: Eukaryota; Fungi
Description: sequence contains ITS1, 5.8S rRNA gene
Source: RNAcentral
UUGAUUUAUUCAAAAUAUUGACUCGGACGCAAAGAUGCAGUGUUUGAAGGUCCAUCGGGGGCCCCGGCACGAGUCCGGGUCGCCCCCGAGGCAACAGGGUCGGUUAACAUGGGGUUGGAGGUCGGACCCGGAGGCCCUCACUCGGUAAUGAUCCCUCCGCAGGUUCACCUACGGAGA